RNAcentral lists this ribosomal RNA (448 nucleotides) under uncultured bacterium. RNAcentral's name for it is "bacterial SSU rRNA". It matches the Rfam family "Bacterial small subunit ribosomal RNA", at positions 355 to 796 of the family's 1533-position model. The record is from RNAcentral.
UGGGGAAUAUUGGACAAUGGGGGCAACCCUGAUCCAGCGAUGCCGCGUGGGUGAAGAAGGCCUUCGGGUUGUAAAGCCCUUUAGGUUGGGACGAAGGGUGUGGUAGGAAAUGACCGCACUUUGACGGUACCGACAGAAUAAGCACCGGCAAACUCUGUGCCAGCAGCCGCGGUAAUACAGAGGGUGCGAGCGUUAAUCGGAAUUACUGGGCGUAAAGGGCGCGUAGGCGGUUAUAUGAGUGUGAUGUGAAAGCCCCGGGCUUAACCUGGGAAGUGCAUCGCAAACGAUAUAGCUAGAGUAGAUGAGAGGGUGGCGGAAUUUCCGGUGUAGCGGUGAAAUGCGUAGAGAUCGGAAGGAACGUCGAUGGCGAAGGCAGCCACCUGGCAUCAUACUGACGCUGAGGCGCGAAAGCGUGGGUAGCGAACAGGAUUAGAUACCCGCGUAGUCC